CUCGUAGGCGGUUCGAUUAGUCGGGUGUGAAAUCUCCACGCUCAACGUGGAGGGGCCACUCGAUACUGUCGUGACUCGAGUCCGGUAGGGGAGUUCGGAAUUCCCGGUGUAGCGGUGAAAUGCGCAGAUAUCGGGAGGAACACCAGUGGCGAAGGCGGAACUCUGGGCCGGAACUGACGCUGAGGAGCGAAAGCGUGGGGAGCGAACA
This 208-nucleotide ribosomal RNA is filed under the name uncultured bacterium. RNAcentral's name for it is "partial 16S ribosomal RNA". It matches the Rfam family "Bacterial small subunit ribosomal RNA", at positions 568 to 774 of the family's 1533-position model. The record is from RNAcentral.